This 439-nucleotide ribosomal RNA is filed under the name uncultured marine eukaryote. RNAcentral describes it as "SSU rRNA". It matches the Rfam family "Eukaryotic small subunit ribosomal RNA", at positions 617 to 1061 of the family's 1831-position model. The record is from RNAcentral.
GGUAAAAAAGCUCGUAGUUGGAUUUCUGUUGAGGACGACCGGUCCGUACCAUGUACGCGCGUCUGGUUCGGCCUCGGCAUCCUCUCGAUAGACGUUUCUGCGCUUGAUUGCGAGGAGCGGAUUUCGGGACUUUUACUUUGAGGAAAUUAGAGUGUUCACGGCAGGCUAUCGCCAGAAUACAUUAGCAUGGAAUAAUACUAUAGGAUCUCGGUUCUAUUUUGUUGGUUUCUAGACCCGGGGUAAUGAUUAAUAGGGACAACUGGGGGCAUUUGUAUCAACACGUCGGAGGUGGAAUUCUUGGAUUGUGUUGCGACAAACUACUGCGAAAGCAUUUGCCAAGGAUGUUUUCAUUGAUCAAGAACGAAAGUAAGGGGAUCGAAGACGAUUAGAUACCGUCGUAGUCUUUACCAUAAACUAUGCCGACUAGAGAUGGGGCAUC